Molecule: long non-coding RNA, 1332 nt
Organism: Mesocricetus auratus (golden hamster)
Lineage: Eukaryota; Metazoa; Chordata; Mammalia; Rodentia; Cricetidae
Exons: 2
Source: RefSeq, a predicted model, not a curated record
CCCAGCAACUGGUGUUUUAUGAAUGCUGGUGUUUUGGAUGCUAUCUGAAUAUUGUAAUGAAAACAGAAACAGCGCCAACUGAACACGCUUCCCCGCUUUCUCUCAGUCCAGCUUAGGGCCGUCUCCCAGCGACAGACCUGAAUCACUAGUUUGCAGACCCCUUUGUGCUAACUGGCACUAUGGGACCACCCCACCACCUACCGUCCUGCUCGGCAACGAGGACAGAAUAUCGGAUCUGAAGCAUCUGGGCCAGCCCAAGAUAAAGGACAUGGGCAUAGAGCAACAAGCCUGCCUAGACAAGAACAUGGCGCCAGACACCACACGGGGGUGCUCGCACUAAGACGACGAGAGUCCCGUUCCAGGCGCGUUAAUUAGGCCAAACAGGCAGGUCCCCCUUCCUGUGCGGCUGGGCAUGAGUCUGCUGAUCUAGGGGCCAGACAUGUGCAAGCCGCUUGGAGGCGGGGUGCGGGUGGCCAGAAGGCCCAGUGCCCGUGGAGGCCAGGGUCCCCCGCAGCCCAAGGGCUCGUGAGGCCGGGGUGGGGAACGCUGUCGAGGCUUCACAGUGGAGAGGAAAUUCUUCGCCCCAGCUAAGAGCGCUUCCUAACGCCAUGUCUAGAAGGAAGACACUUCGCGAGACCUCAACCCAGGCCACACGAGGCCACGAGGGGGCAGCAGAGGACUCAACCUGAGACUUAAAAAAAAAGGAAAGAAAACAGAAAAACAGGUCGAGAAACGGAAAGGGAUUCACUUGGGAAAUAUCGUCAGUUGCCUUCGGUGUAUUCAAAGUUAGCAUACACGACGCAGUCUCGAUGAGAAUAACGUUGUCCCCCGCCCCCCCCAUAGGCUCGAGGUGCCCGUGAAGCCACCCAACACGAACUGUCUCUUCACUGGGCAAAACCAAGAGAAAAGGGGGGUCAUGACCCCUAAAGGCUGACGUCAGCAGGGGCCUUGUCACAAUCUCUUUUUUGUUAAGUUCUGAUUCAAAUAAAUUGGUGACCUCCAUAGAGGCUGCCAGAUGGGUGCAGACGGGGUGGUCACUAGGAGCAUGGCCGAAACGCAGAAGCUGUUCCGGAGCAGCCAGGACUCCUGGCCGGCCAGCGUGGAGGGGGAGUCGAGAGAAACGCAGAAAGCUCAGUUUCGGCUUGCAGCAGGCAAAAGCACUUAUAAACACGCGGAUCAAACCGGAGUUCCAGGAUGGCCUGGUCUACAAUGGCAAGUUCCAGGCAGCCAAUAAGAAGAUAAGCGAGCCCCGGCAUCUAAGGGAUCUUAAUAACUUACAAUGAGCGAAGCCCCUUGUCAGUUACUUUGGACAAUAAAUGAGAAAUAAAACCA